CUCCUUCUGAGCGCCUGCUUCCCUCUCCCCUCCAGGUGGUGGGCUGGCGGGCACCCCCGCCGCCCUGGACAGCAGUGCUCAGCAGAGGUUCUGGGACUGAGGUGACGGAGGUGCUAGUGUUGAGUUCAACGCCUUGGAGUGCAGAGGUCUUCCCGUGGACCCUCCAGGACCCCCUCCAGUGGAGGAAGCCGCCCCAGGCUGCCGGGAUGUCCAGCCUCCGGGGAAAGAGUGGCCUUCAGGUCAUUUCCAGCUUCACCACCUUGUGACUGGCCAAGGAGCCACCCCAGGCCCUUCCUCCCCUCCCAGCUGCAAAGCCACCCCCACGCCAGGCUUACACACACACUUCACACACACCUGCCACCCCCUACCCCGGCCCCCAGGACCUGUCUCCAUCCUGGCUGCAAAGCCCCCGCAUCCCAACUUGACUUGAGUCUCACCUGAAUCAGAAUUGUGGCAGCAGCUUCUGACUUCACCUGGGAUUCCAACCAGGCCAGGGGGCCACGGAGGCAGCAGAGGAAGCUAGGGUGCUGAGCUGGAGGAGGGGUGACCGACAGGCGGCCCCACAGGUUCACACUGCGGAGCCCAGGUGAGUCCAGAAUCUUAGACCUGAAAGAGCACGAAGAGCAGGGAGUCACCCGAGGCCCGUUCCUGGCGAACCUUGGUCCUGACUUUCCUUGGUCCUGACACUGGGCUGCGCCCCGCCAGUCCCCCACAGCCCUGAGUGCCACCCACAUUGUUCUUAACUACGCAAGCCAAGUCAUGAAGACCAGUUCUCAGGAUUGUAUCCCCAUUGUUGUAUUAGCCAAAAGACUAAGGUGUUCAAUCUAUUUUUCAAACCCUGUGCUAA
This is a non-coding RNA of Odocoileus virginianus texanus, 847 nucleotides long. The record is from RefSeq and is a predicted model, not a curated record. NCBI's taxonomy places the organism in Eukaryota, Metazoa, Chordata, Mammalia, Artiodactyla, Cervidae.